Long non-coding RNA from Papaver somniferum (opium poppy), 210 nucleotides. RefSeq lists it as uncharacterized. NCBI's taxonomy places the organism in Eukaryota, Viridiplantae, Streptophyta, Magnoliopsida, Ranunculales, Papaveraceae. The transcript is spliced from 3 exons. The record is from RefSeq and is a predicted model, not a curated record.
GUAACCUGUCAGUGUUAGCUAGGGUUUACUAGUAGAAGGUAUCAUCUUCAUUCUUCAGACGAAAUAAACAAGUGAACAUCUAAUUUCUUUUAAGAGGAUUAAGUUGAUUUCUUUGAUUCAACUAUGGAGGAAUCAGGAUCAACACCAGCUUCCGUUAACUCAAAUGCAUUGUUGCCACCACUACAUCCUCCUCCAAGAUCUUCUAACGCC